This 213-nucleotide long non-coding RNA is filed under the name Populus trichocarpa (black cottonwood). RNAcentral's name for it is "long non-coding RNA (PTRI_LNC003423)". The record is from RNAcentral. Lineage: Eukaryota; Viridiplantae; Streptophyta; Magnoliopsida; Malpighiales; Salicaceae.
GCGUAUAUACUGAAAAUUCAUGUAAUAAAGAACUAGGUGUGCAUUGUGUAACAUCAAGAGUUUUGUGGUGGCGCUGUAUUGACAAGAAGUACUCCUAUACCUUCCAUAACUUUUGUAAAAGAGAAUUAGGUGUGUUUUGUGUAGCACUAAUGGGUGGUUGUAAGAUGUCGUAUUGAUAAAACGAGUGUGUAUUAGGUAUUUGUGUAGUUAGAU